Molecule: long non-coding RNA, 401 nt
Organism: Anolis carolinensis (green anole)
Lineage: Eukaryota; Metazoa; Chordata; Lepidosauria; Squamata; Anolidae
Exons: 3
Source: RefSeq, a predicted model, not a curated record
CCUUCAAAAUGAUGUUUGCUUUUGUUCAAUCCAUAGAUAUGAAUCACAGACCAGACAAAGCAGGCUAUAUGCGAAGGAAUGAAUUUAAGGCACCACUGAUUUCUGGGCAAUACCACGGAAGCUCCAGAGAUCUAGGAAAUGGAAAGUGUUGUGUAUUCCUGAUCUUGUCAAUUCAAGCUCUGGAAAGAAGCUCCCAGAAAGAGGUUCAUGCUGGAUCUCAUCAGAGAACAUUAGUGAUGAAGACAGAAGUAAUUAGAAGUCAUACAGAGCAAGCUAAAAUGAUACUCAUUAAAUCUUCCAAGAAAGAAAAUGCACACUUUUGGAAAGGCAGAAAAAGGACAGUCCAGGUAUGUUGGCAAAUGUAACAAUAUCAAGCAGAUUAACCCUAUUGGCAAAACAAA